UACGAAGGGUGCAAGCGUUACUCGGAAUUACUGGGCGUAAAGCGUGCGUAGGUGGUUUGUUAAGUCUGAUGUGAAAGCCCCGGGCUCAACCUGGGAAUGGCGAUGAAGACUGCAAGGCUUGAAUCUGGCAGAGGGGGGUAGAAGUUCCACGUGUAGCAGUGAAAUGCGUAGAGAUGUGGAGGAACACCGAUGGCGAAGGCAGCCCCCUGGGUCAAGAUUGACGCUCAUGCACGAAAGCGUGGGGAGCAAACAGG
RNAcentral lists this ribosomal RNA (254 nucleotides) under uncultured bacterium. RNAcentral's name for it is "partial 16S ribosomal RNA". It matches the Rfam family "Bacterial small subunit ribosomal RNA", at positions 524 to 776 of the family's 1533-position model. The record is from RNAcentral.